RNAcentral lists this small RNA (184 nucleotides) under Octodon degus (degu). RNAcentral's name for it is "7SK RNA (ENSODEG00000022170.1)". It matches the Rfam family "7SK RNA", at positions 120 to 267 of the family's 331-position model. Rfam says of the family: 7SK was discovered as an abundant small nuclear RNA in the mid-70s but a possible function has only recently been suggested. Two independent studies have found that 7SK RNA binds the CDK9/cyclin T complex (known as elongation factor P-TEFb). P-TEFb activates transcription by phosphorylating the C-terminal domain of RNA polymerase II. Lineage: Eukaryota; Metazoa; Chordata; Mammalia; Rodentia; Octodontidae. The record is from RNAcentral.
UCUCAGCUGGGUAUAACUGAUUUAGAGGGUUUUCAUGAAACCAGUCUCAGCCCAGUCAGUCAAAGAGGACGACCACCCCCAAUAGAGGAGGACCAUUCCUCAGUCAAGGGUAUACAAGUAGCUGCACUCCCCUGCUAGAACCUCCAAACAAGCUCUCAGAUAACACAUUGAAAAAUGUCUCAUC